UACGGAGGGGGCUAGCGUUGCUCGGAAUCACUGGGCGUAAAGCGCACGUAGGCGGCUUUUUAAGUCAGGGGUGAAAUCCUGGAGCUCAACUCCAGAACUGCCUUUGAUACUGAGAAGCUUGAGUCCGGGAGAGGUGAGUGGAACUGCGAGUGUAGAGGUGAAAUUCGUAGAUAUUCGCAAGAACACCAGUGGCGAAGGCGGCUCACUGGCCCGGUACUGACGCUGAGGUGCGAAAGCGUGGGGAGCAAACAGG
RNAcentral lists this ribosomal RNA (253 nucleotides) under uncultured bacterium. RNAcentral's name for it is "partial 16S ribosomal RNA". It matches the Rfam family "Bacterial small subunit ribosomal RNA", at positions 524 to 776 of the family's 1533-position model. The record is from RNAcentral.